GCUAGAUGUGGUGGCACAUGCCUGUAGUCCCAGCUACUCAGGAGGCUGAGCAGGGAGGAUUGCUUGAGGCCAGGAAUUCUGGGCUACAGUGUGCUAUGCCAAUCAGGUAUCCGCACUAAGUUCAGCAUAAAUAUGGUAAUCUCCUGGGAGCAGGGGACCACCAGGUUGCCUAAGGAGGGGUGAAUCAGCCCAGGUCAGAAACAGAGCAUGUCAAAACUCCCAUGCUGAUCACUAGUGGGAUAGUGUCGGUGAAUAGCCAGUGCACUCCAGCCUGGGCAACAUAGCAAGACCCUGUCUCU
This 299-nucleotide signal recognition particle RNA is filed under the name Pan paniscus (pygmy chimpanzee). RNAcentral describes it as "Metazoan signal recognition particle RNA (ENSPPAG00000006732.1)". It matches the Rfam family "Metazoan signal recognition particle RNA". From Rfam's summary of the family: The signal recognition particle (SRP) is a universally conserved ribonucleoprotein. The record is from RNAcentral. Lineage: Eukaryota; Metazoa; Chordata; Mammalia; Primates; Hominidae.